CACAGUUCAGUGCUCAGUACUCUUCCAGACAUCACCCUAUUUAUCUCUUCAUCAGGCUUUUCACUUCUUAUCCUUUAUAAUAAACCAGUGAUUCCAAUUAACUCAGAAAGUGUCAACUUCUGUAUCUACAUCAAUGACACCAAAAUAUGCAUCUCUAGCCUGACAUAGCUCAAGCAGCUCCAGUGCAGGAGACAGAGGGAGCCUGGAAUCCAAAGAAGAGAGCUCCAACCAGCAUAGAGUUGUCAACAGUGCAAGCUGCUGAAAAGAGGACAAGGGAGAUAUUAUUCCUCCACGCCAACCAGCACGCACUUCUCAACCAGCCUUAUUGCCUAUAAACUACCGCUGUUUUGACUAUCAGCUAAAUGAUGAAAGCCUGAGAGAGGGCAUUUUAUUAGUGGCAUAGUCAGAUGCAGCUGUGCUCUAAGAACAUCCUCUGAAAAUACCUGGGAGAAACUAUUUCCUUCUCAUAGACAAUUGCUAAAAAUGGUCAUUCGUUGGCCAGGUCCACUAACAGUGCAUACGUUGAUCAGAGUUAUUUUGUUUGAAAUUAGUGUGCUGUACAGAAAGCUUUGUCUUACAUGAACCUGUGUUUUGAUAAAACAGAGACCUUGGGCAUUAGCAGAGAGGGGGAUGGGUGACAGUUUACCACUAACUUAAACAGAUUCAAAGGUAAACACCAUACUUUGUUAAUUUUCACAUUCAUUAAAGAUCUAAAUAUUGAGAAGUUUGCUUGAGGAUUAAGUGUCUUCCAACCAGGGGCACCAAGGUGAGG
RNAcentral lists this non-coding RNA (772 nucleotides) under Pongo abelii (Sumatran orangutan). The record is from RNAcentral. Lineage: Eukaryota; Metazoa; Chordata; Mammalia; Primates; Hominidae.